GACGAACGCUGGCGGCGUGCUUAACACAUGCCAGUCGAACGGAAAGGCCCUGCUUUUGUGGGGUGCUCGAUUGGCGAACGGGUGAGUAACACGUGAGUAACCUGCCCUUGACUUUGUGAUAACUUCAGGAAACUGGGGCUAAUACCGGAUAGGAGCUCCUGCUGCAUGGUGGGGGUUGGAAAGUUUCGGCGGUUGGGGAUGGACUCGCGGCUUAUCAGCUUGUUGGUGGGGUAGUGGCUUACCAAGGCUUUGACGGGUAGCCGGCCUGGGAGGGUGAACGGGGAAAAGGGGACUGAGAGAGGGAGCAGAAGGCAACGGGAGGCAGCAGUGGGGAAUAUUGCACAAUGGGCGGAAGCGAGAGGAAGAAACGCCGCGAGCGGGAAGACGGCCUACGGGUUGUAAACCGCUUUAGAAUGUGACGAAGCGUGAGUGACGGUAAUGGGUAAAGAAGCACCGGCUAACUACGUG
Molecule: ribosomal RNA, 468 nt
Filed under: uncultured bacterium
Lineage: Bacteria
Description: partial 16S ribosomal RNA
Rfam family: Bacterial small subunit ribosomal RNA
Source: RNAcentral